Molecule: unclassified non-coding RNA, 200 nt
Filed under: Entoloma sp.
Lineage: Eukaryota; Fungi; Basidiomycota; Agaricomycetes; Agaricales; Entolomataceae
Description: partial internal transcribed spacer 2
Source: RNAcentral
UUAAGUUCAGCGGGUAGUCCUACCUGAUUUGAGGUCAAAUAGUCAUACAUUGUCUUAACAAAGACGAUUGGUAGCAGAGUAGACCGAGUCUUAAUUGGAUAUAGAUAGUUAUCAUACCAAAAGAUAAUCGGUAAAAACCUGCUAAUACAUUUAAGAAGAGCUGAUUUCAGUAAGAAACCUGCAACUUCCAUAUCCAAGCC